This 266-nucleotide ribosomal RNA is filed under the name uncultured prokaryote. RNAcentral describes it as "partial 16S ribosomal RNA". It matches the Rfam family "Bacterial small subunit ribosomal RNA", at positions 524 to 788 of the family's 1533-position model. The record is from RNAcentral.
UACGUAGGUGGCGAGCGUUAUCCGGAAUUAUUGGGCGUAAAGAGCGCGCAGGUGGUUGAUUAAGUCUGAUGUGAAAGCCCACGGCUUAACCGUGGAGGGUCAUUGGAAACUGGUCAACUUGAGUGCAGAAGAGGGAAGUGGAAUUCCAUGUGUAGCGGUGAAAUGCGUAGAGAUAUGGAGGAACACCAGUGGCGAAGGCGGCUUCCUGGUCUGUAACUGACACUGAGGCGCGAAAGCGUGGGGAGCAAACAGGAUUAGAUACCCCU